RNAcentral lists this ribosomal RNA (1375 nucleotides) under uncultured bacterium. RNAcentral describes it as "bacterial SSU rRNA". It matches the Rfam family "Bacterial small subunit ribosomal RNA", at positions 28 to 1381 of the family's 1533-position model. The record is from RNAcentral.
AUUGAACGCUGGCGGCAGGCCUAACACAUGCAAGUCGAGCGGAAACGAGUUAUCUGAACCUUCGGGGAACGAUAACGGCGUCGAGCGGCGGACGGGUGAGUAAUGCCUAGGAAAUUGCCCUGAUGUGGGGGAUAACCAUUGGAAACGAUGGCUAAUACCGCAUGAUGCCUACGGGCCAAAGAGGGGGACCUUCGGGCCUCUCGCGUCAGGAUAUGCCUAGGUGGGAUUAGCUAGUUGGUGAGGUAAGGGCUCACCAAGGCGACGAUCCCUAGCUGGUCUGAGAGGAUGAUCAGCCACACUGAAACUGAGACACGGUCCAGACUCCUACGGGAGGCAGCAGUGGGGAAUAUUGCACAAUGGGCGCAAGCCUGAUGCAGCCAUGCCGCGUGUGUGAAGAAGGCCUUCGGGUUGUAAAGCACUUUCAGUCGUGAGGAAGGUAGUGUAGUUAAUAGCUGCAUUAUUUGACGUUAGCGACAGAAGAAGCACCGGCUAACUCCGUGCCAGCAGCCGCGGUAAUACGGAGGGUGCGAGCGUUAAUCGGAAUUACUGGGCGUAAAGCGCAUGCAGGUGGUUUGUUAAGUCAGAUGUGAAAGCCCGGGGCUCAACCUCGGAAUAGCAUUUGAAACUGGCAGACUAGAGUACUGUAGAGGGGGGUAGAAUUUCAGGUGUAGCGGUGAAAUGCGUAGAGAUCUGAAGGAAUACCGGUGGCGAAGGCGGCCCCCUGGACAGAUACUGACACUCAGAUGCGAAAGCGUGGGGAGCAAACAGGAUUAGAUACCCUGGUAGUCCACGCCGUAAACGAUGUCUACUUGGAGGUUGUGGCCUUGAGCCGUGGCUUUCGGAGCUAACGCGUUAAGUAGACCGCCUGGGGAGUACGGUCGCAAGAUUAAAACUCAAAUGAAUUGACGGGGGCCCGCACAAGCGGUGGAGCAUGUGGUUUAAUUCGAUGCAACGCGAAGAACCUUACCUACUCUUGACAUCCAGAGAACUUUCCAGAGAUGGAUUGGUGCCUUCGGGAACUCUGAGACAGGUGCUGCAUGGCUGUCGUCAGCUCGUGUUGUGAAAUGUUGGGUUAAGUCCCGCAACGAGCGCAACCCUUAUCCUUGUUUGCCAGCGAGUAAUGUCGGGAACUCCAGGGAGACUGCCGGUGAUAAACCGGAGGAAGGUGGGGACGACGUCAAGUCAUCAUGGCCCUUACGAGUAGGGCUACACACGUGCUACAAUGGCGCAUACAGAGGGCGGCCAACUUGCGAAAGUGAGCGAAAUCCCAAAAAGUGCGUCGUAGUCCGGAUUGGAGUCUGCAACUCGACUCCAUGAAGUCGGAAUCGCUAGUAAUCGUGGAUCAGAAUGCCACGGUGAAUACGUUCCCGGGCCU